UUUCCGUAGGUGAACCUGCGGAAGGAUCAUUAAUAGUGCCCUCUGAUGCAAAUCAUUGGGUUAGAUCUGCUCUCUUCGCAAGAAGAGGGUUUCCAUACACACCGUGAACUGUGGCUUCGGCCAUCACAAACUGUUAGUAAUGAAUGUAAUAUCAUAACAAAAACAAAACUUUUAACAACGGAUCUCUUGGCUCUCGCAUCGAUGAAGAACGCAGCGAAAUGCGAUAAGUAAUGUGAAUUGCAGAAUUCAGUGAAUCAUCGAAUCUUUGAACGCACCUUGCGCCCUUUGGUAUUCCGAAGGGCAUGCCUGUUUGAGUGUCAUGAAACCUCACCCCACUUGGGUUUUUGCCUGAGCGGUGGUGUAUUGGGUGUUGCCUUGCUAAAGGCUCGCCUUAAAGACAUAAGCACCUUGGAUGUAAUACGUUUCAUCCUUCUGGGUGGCUGAUAACCCCACAUAUUCAUGAUCUGGCUCAAAAUCAGGUAGGGCUACCCGCUGAACUUAAGCAUAUCAAUAAUAAAGCGGAGGNAA
Molecule: ribosomal RNA, 528 nt
Filed under: Vishniacozyma victoriae
Lineage: Eukaryota; Fungi; Basidiomycota; Tremellomycetes; Tremellales; Bulleribasidiaceae
Description: eukaryotic LSU rRNA
Rfam family: 5.8S ribosomal RNA (bases 167-320)
Source: RNAcentral